UUGGAGGGCAAGUCUGGUGCCAGCAGCCGCGGUAAUUCCAGCUCCAAUAGCGUAUAUUAAAGUUGUUGCAGUUAAAAAGCUCGUAGUUGAAUUUCGGGAAUGGCACAUCGGUCGUGCCUUAAGGGGCAUGAACUGGUGUAGCCAAUUUCUCACCUUCUGGAGAACCGCGAUGUCCUUGAUUGGGUGCCGCGAGGAACCAGGACCUUUACUUUGAAAAAAUUAGAGUGUUUAAAGCAGGCAUUUUGCUUGAAUACAUUAGCAUGGAAUAAUAAAAUAGGACGGAUGAUUCUAUUUUGUUGGUCUCUAAGACCACCGUAAUGAUUAAUAGGGAUAGUUGGGGGCAUUAGUAUUCAAUUGUCAGAGGUGAAAUUCUUGGAUUUAUUGAAGACUAACUACUGCGAAAGCAUUUGCCAAGGAUGUUUUCAUUAAUCAAGAACGAAAGUUAGGGGAUCGAAGACGAUCAGAUACCGUCGUAGUCUUAACCAUAAACUAUGCCGACUAGGAAUCAGACGAUGUUAAUUUUUUAAUGACUCGUUUGGCACCUUACGGGAAACCAAAGUGUUUGGGUUC
Molecule: ribosomal RNA, 570 nt
Filed under: uncultured Glomeromycotina
Lineage: Eukaryota; Fungi; Glomeromycota
Description: SSU rRNA
Rfam family: Eukaryotic small subunit ribosomal RNA
Source: RNAcentral